AUGCUGACUGGCUGCCUCUGUAUGAACUGGAUGAGGUGGCCGUAAAUGUCAUCGAAACCUAUGGCAUCAGCAAGGAAAAGGAUCUGGUGCAGAAGAUGCAGUACCUGAACUGUAUUUGCUCACUGUGCAGCGCUGCUGAACAGAAGGGCUUGACAGUGUACCUGGAUAUCUUCUGCUUCCUAAACAAUGUGACAGAGAACAUUGAGGUGAGGGGACAUGGCACCCAGGUACCCUGUAAGAAGGACAGAGCAGGGGGAGAGGGAGGCAGGGAAAUCAUGCACAGACACCAAAGUUCCCCAGAUGAGACUCCAGGUGCUGCUGAGACCUCAGCAGUGGAGGCAGACAGCAGCACCAGUGUGACAGGGUUUGCUGAGGGCCACUGGGGAGACACAGGCCCUACCGGUCAGUGGCAGGUUUUCUGUUGGUGGGUGCUGGCAGCUGCCAGGUGCCAUCCUGAUUUGAUUGUGCUUUGCAGGUUCUGUUGUGUGAGGAGCCCAGGGAUCAGCUGAACACAGCUCUAAGAUACCACUGCAUGAAUGCGAUUGCUGCAAUGAGCCAAGUGGAAGCAAUUUCGGAGGAAGAACUAUUACAUCUUUUAAAAGCGUGCUGCAGAGUCAUCUUCUGCCUUCCUCCAACCAGGGAAUUGAACAUUUGCCUCUACAACCAUACCCUGGAUGCUAUGGACAACAUGCUGGAGGCUAUGCUGUACCACUGUCCCACCGCCAGUUUCAAUAGUCUGCUGCAGAGAAUCUUUGAGGUGCUGCGGCCCUUCACCAUUUCUGAUAGCAAAACUGUGCGCGACAGGGCCAUGGAGCGGAUCUGGAUGCUUUAUAGUUUCCUGGCCAGCAAUCCCUUGCCGGAGAUGCCUAGAAGAUUACUUGAAGCUCCUCUGACUACAGACAUUGUCUUCAGGACCCUUGAAAAGAUCAGUGCUGACUGCAGCCCUGAGGACAAGGAAUAUGCCAGGAUUCUACUGGAUUUUCUUUUAAAAGACCCUAUCACCUGGCUGACAGAUGUGCCAGAGAUUCUGGUGUUCAUCCAGAGAAAUCUGAAAAACAACAGCACAUCAGAUCAGGCGCCCUUCCUGUCGGUGCUUGAUGUGCUGGCACGCUGCUUUCCCAUGCAUGUGUUAGAAAGCAUAUUGACACAACUACCACACAGUGACAGCGCUACUGUGGAGGUCUGGAAGAUGGUGCUUUCCCUGCCGGAAUCUUCCGAAAAAAUCCUGGAAGGACUGUGCAUAAUUCUCCAGAACAAAAAUUUGCACAGGAUCACCACAAUGGGGUCUGGCCUCCUUCAGCAGACUGUGAGUUACCAGACAGGUCACCGUGCUCUCUCCUUCAGGACACUCUCUUCCCAGCAAGCUGCCUCCCCCUGCCUUGCUCCCUAG
Molecule: long non-coding RNA, 1390 nt
Filed under: Coturnix japonica (Japanese quail)
Lineage: Eukaryota; Metazoa; Chordata; Aves; Galliformes; Phasianidae
Description: lncRNA (ENSCJPG00005003601.1)
Source: RNAcentral